Molecule: ribosomal RNA, 687 nt
Filed under: uncultured methanogenic archaeon
Lineage: Archaea; Methanobacteriati; Methanobacteriota
Description: bacterial SSU rRNA
Rfam family: Archaeal small subunit ribosomal RNA
Source: RNAcentral
GGAUUCGUCCGCCCAAAGGAUGGGUCUGCGGCCUAUCAGGUAGUAGUGGGGUGUAUGUACCUACUAGCCUACGACGGGUACGGGUUGUGAGAGCAAGAGCCCGGAGAUGGAUUCUGAGACACGAACCCAGGCCCUACGGGGUGCAGCAGGCGCGAAAACUUUACAAUGCUGGCAACAGCGAUAAGGGAACCUCGAGUGCCAGGUUACAAAUCUGGCUGUCGAGAUGCCUAAAAAGCAUUUCAUAGCAAGGGCCGGGCAAGACCGGUGCCAGCCGCCGCGGUAACACCGGCGGCUCGAGUGGUGACCGUUAUUAUUGGGUCUAAAGGGUCCGUAGCCGGUUUGGUCAGUCCUCCGGGAAAUCUGAUAGCUUAACUGUUAGGCUUUCGGGGGAUACUGCCAGGCUUGGAACCGGGAGAGGUAAGAGGUACUACAGGGGUAGGAGUGAAAUCUUGUAAUCCCUGUGAGACCACCUGUGGCGAAGGCGUCUUACCAGAACGGGUCCGACGGUGAGGGACGAAAGCUGGGGGCACGAACCGGAUUAGAUACCCGGGUAGUCCCAGCCGUAAACUAUGCUCGCUAGGUGUCAGGCAUGGCGCGACCGUGUCUGGUGCCGCAGGGAAGCCGUGAAGCGACCCUCCUNGAAGUACGGCCGCAAGGCUGAAACUUAAAGGAAUGGCGGGGAGCACA